RNAcentral lists this non-coding RNA (29 nucleotides) under Rattus norvegicus (Norway rat). The record is from RNAcentral. Lineage: Eukaryota; Metazoa; Chordata; Mammalia; Rodentia; Muridae.
UUAUAGUUCUGAGGAAGACUCUCCGAUUC